GUUAGGAAUAUUGGACAAUGGGCGCAAGCCUGAUCCAGCCAUGCCGCGUGAGUGAUGAAGGCCUUCGGGUUGUAAAGCUCUUUAGCCGAUGAUUAUAAUGACUGUAGUCGGAAAAUAAGCCCCGGCUAACUUCGUGCCAGCAGCCGCGGUAAUACGAAGGGGGCGAGCGUUAUUCGGAAUCACUGGGCGUAAAGCGUGCGUAGGCGACUUUGCAAGUUGGGAGUGAAAGCCCAGGGCUCAACCCUGGAAUUGCUCUCAAAACUGCAAGGCUCGAAUUCGGGAGAGGAUAGCGGAAUUGUCAGUGUAGCAGUGAAAUGCGUAGAUAUUGACAGGAACACCAGUGGCGUAAGCGGCUAUCUGGACCGAUAUUGACGCUGAGGCACGAAAGCGUGGGGAUCAAACAGGAUUUGAUACCCCAGUAGUCC
Molecule: ribosomal RNA, 425 nt
Filed under: uncultured bacterium
Lineage: Bacteria
Description: partial 16S ribosomal RNA
Rfam family: Bacterial small subunit ribosomal RNA
Source: RNAcentral